CCUACGGGUGGCUGCAGUGAGGAAUAUUGGUCAAUGGGCGCGAGCCUGAACCAGCCCAGUCGCGUGAGGGAUGAAGGUUCUAUGGAUCGUAAACCUCUUUUAUAAGGGAAUAAAGUGUGGGACGUGUCCUAUUUUGUAUGUCCCUUAUAAAUAAGGAUAGGCUAACUCCGUGCCAGCAGCCGCGGUAAUACGGUGUAUCCGAGCGUUAUCCGGAUUUAUUGGGUUUAAAGGGGGCGUAGGCGGCCUUUUAAGUCAGCGGUGAAAGUCUGUGGAUCAACCAUAGCAUUGCCGUUGAAACUGGGGGGCUUGAGUAUGUUUGAGGCAGACGGAAUGCGUGGUGUAGCGGUGAAAGGCUUAGAUAUCACGCAGAACCCCGAUUGCGAAGGCAGCCUGCCAAGCCAUGACUGACGCUGAUGCACGAAAGCGUGGGGAUCAAACAGGAUUAGAUACCCCUGUAGUC
RNAcentral lists this ribosomal RNA (460 nucleotides) under uncultured bacterium. RNAcentral's name for it is "partial 16S ribosomal RNA". It matches the Rfam family "Bacterial small subunit ribosomal RNA", at positions 338 to 795 of the family's 1533-position model. The record is from RNAcentral.